AAGUCGUAACAAGGUUUCCGUAGGUGAACCUGCGGAAGGAUCAUUACUGCUUGCUUAUGACCUCUGCGUGGGAGACUAUGCAGUUGUCGGGCUCGCUACCCUUGCCUAAACACAACCUUUUGUUAUUUCCCUCGGCAGGGCUACCUGCCGCUGGGCCUUCUCAAACCUUUUGUUGAAGUAUUACAUUCUGAACCACACAAUAAUCACAACUUUUAACAAUGGAUCUCUUGGUUCUG
This 236-nucleotide unclassified non-coding RNA is filed under the name fungal sp. Its description in RNAcentral is "partial internal transcribed spacer region". The stretch from base 1 to 46 matches the Rfam family "Eukaryotic small subunit ribosomal RNA", at positions 1786 to 1831 of the family's 1831-position model. The record is from RNAcentral. Lineage: Eukaryota; Fungi.